UAGGGAAUCUUCGGCAAUGGACGAAAGUCUGACCGAGCAACGCCGCGUGAGUGAAGAAGGUUUUCGGAUCGAAAAACUCUGUUGUUAGAGAAGAAAAAGGACGUUAGUAACUGAACGUCCCCUGACGGUAUCUAACCAGAAAGCCACGGCUAACUCCGUGCCAGCAGCCGCGGUAAUACGUAGGUGGCAAGCGUUGUCCGGAUUUAUUGGGCGUAAAGCGAGCGCAGACGGUUUCUUAAGUCUGAUGUGAAAGCCCCCGGCUCAACCGGGGAGGGUCAUUGGAAACUGGGAGACGUGAGUGCAGAAGAGGAGAGUGGAAUUCCAUGUGUGGCGGUGAAAUGCGUAGAUAUAUGGAGGAACACCAGUGGCGAAGGCGGCUCUCUGGUCUGUAACUGACGCUGAGGCUCGAAAGCGUGGGGAGCAAACAGG
This 429-nucleotide ribosomal RNA is filed under the name Chloroflexota bacterium. RNAcentral's name for it is "Chloroflexi bacterium partial 16S ribosomal RNA". It matches the Rfam family "Bacterial small subunit ribosomal RNA", at positions 355 to 776 of the family's 1533-position model. Lineage: Bacteria; Bacillati; Chloroflexota. The record is from RNAcentral.